RNAcentral lists this ribosomal RNA (240 nucleotides) under uncultured bacterium. RNAcentral describes it as "partial 16S ribosomal RNA". It matches the Rfam family "Bacterial small subunit ribosomal RNA", at positions 29 to 297 of the family's 1533-position model. The record is from RNAcentral.
AGCGAACGCUGGCGGCAGGCCUAACACAUGCAAGUCGAACGGGCACCUUCGGGUGUCAGUGGCAGACGGGUGAGUAACACGUGGGAACGUGCCCUUUGGUUCGGGACAACUCCGGGAAACUGGGAGCUAAUACCGGAUAAGCCCUUCGGGGAAGAUUAUCGCCAAGGAUCGGCCCGCGUCUGAUUAGCUAGUUGGUGAGGUAAUGGCUCACCAAGGCGACGAUCAGUAGCUGGUCNGAGA